Molecule: non-coding RNA, 71 nt
Organism: Myotis lucifugus (little brown bat)
Lineage: Eukaryota; Metazoa; Chordata; Mammalia; Chiroptera; Vespertilionidae
Source: Rfam
GGUGGUUCUCGGGUGACGCACCUUAGAAUCAGGCUCCUUCCUCUCUGGUUCUGGGUCACCCGAGGACCGCA